This 270-nucleotide ribosomal RNA is filed under the name uncultured archaeon. RNAcentral describes it as "partial 16S ribosomal RNA". It matches the Rfam family "Bacterial small subunit ribosomal RNA", at positions 527 to 796 of the family's 1533-position model. The record is from RNAcentral.
CGGGGGUGCAAGCGUUAAUCGGAAUUACUGGGCGUAAAGCGAGUGUAGGCGGUUACUUAAGUCGGAUGUGAAAUCCCCGGGCUCAACCUGGGAAUUGCAUUCGAUACUGGGUAGCUAGAGUUUGGUAGAGGUAAGUGGAAUUCCGGGUGUAGCGGUGAAAUGCGUAGAUAUCCGGAGGAACAUCAGUGGCGAAGGCGGCUUACUGGACCAAAACUGACGCUGAGGCUCGAAAGCGUGGGGAGCAAACAGGAUUAGAUACCCGAGUAGUCC